CCUAGCCUGGGAACAUCAUGGAUCCUAAUAAAGGCGUCUGCUUCAAAUCCUGCCUUGCUUUCUCUGUCUGCCUGCACUCUGCCCUGACCUGCCUGUCUAGUCGAUUGAGACAUGUCUAGUACUUCCUCCAGGACCUAUUUUCCCACAGGCUGACCCUGAUAAAGGAGGCAAAUCUCAAAGGGACUGACGGUCACACCACAGCUUAGUGAGUGACACUGAUGGACUGUGACGGGAACCUGACAGUGUCAAGAUUCGUUUACAGUGAAAAUGACGGCAAGACUGGGCAUUUCCUCCAUACCAUUGGAGACCACUUAGAGGGAUGUCAACAACACCUUAACAACAGAAUCAAGACAACUAAGGAAGAGUAAAUACUAGUCUCAGAUGCUACAGAUGUUCUGCUGUUGCUUCAGAAGCAGCCUCGCUCAAGGUAGAUGGAAGUUCCACCCGGAAUGGAAUCCAAACACUAUCUGCCACCUACACCACAUGGGAUCCUUAACCCACUGAAAUGGGUGGGG
This is a long non-coding RNA of Phacochoerus africanus (Common warthog), 515 nucleotides long. RefSeq lists it as uncharacterized. The record is from RefSeq and is a predicted model, not a curated record. The transcript has 3 exons. NCBI's taxonomy places the organism in Eukaryota, Metazoa, Chordata, Mammalia, Artiodactyla, Suidae.